UGGGGAAUCUUGCGCAAUGCACGAAAGUGUGACGCAGCAACGCCGCGUGCGGGAAGAAGGUCUUCGGAUCGUAAACCGCUUUCAGUUGGGACGAGGGUUACACGGUGAAUAGCCGGCGUAACUGACGGUACCUUCAGAAGAAGCCCCGGCUAACUACGUGCCAGCAGCCGCGGUAAUACGUAGGGGGCAAGCGUUAUCCGGAAUCAUUGGGCGUAAAGCGCGUGUAGGCGGUUCCGUAAGUCCGCUCUGAAAGCCCAGGGCUCAACCCUGGGAGGCGGGUGGAUACUACGGAACUGGAGUACGGAAGAGGAGAUUGGAAUUCCUGGUGUAGCGGUGAAAUGCGCAGAUAUCAGGAGGAACACCAACAGCGAAGGCAGAUCUCUGGGACGUUACUGACGCUGAGACGCGAAAGCGUGGGGAGCAAACAG
RNAcentral lists this ribosomal RNA (428 nucleotides) under uncultured bacterium. Its description in RNAcentral is "bacterial SSU rRNA". It matches the Rfam family "Bacterial small subunit ribosomal RNA", at positions 355 to 775 of the family's 1533-position model. The record is from RNAcentral.